CCUCCCCCGGCGCCUUCUCUUGGGCGCGCGUGCGCCCCCUGCAGGCGGCCCCCGGGAGAGCCUCGCGGGGGAGCCGGGAGCCCGGUUUCCCCGCCAACCCCCAUCCCACCAGCCCCGGCGGCCACCCUGGGGGCGAGGCAGCCCGGCGCGUGGGAGGGGACGGCACGCCAUUGGCUUGUGCGCGGAACCGAGAGGAGGGACCAGCGCGGGCCGCCAGACUCGGUAAGCCCCGGCCGCGCAGGGCGCCGCGCGCAGUCCAGCCGGCCCUGCCCUGCCCUGCCCUGCCCGGCCCCGCGCGGGCGGCGCGAUGUGAGGCGCCCAAGCCCGGAGCCUCCGCCUGGCACCAGCUCCACGCAGCCCGGCGCCGGCACGCGCGAGGCCCGGUCUGACUCGGUCCCCCGCGCUCGGUUCUCUGUCCCCUCCCCCUCCCGCCAUUGUUCCCGGCCGGAGGAGCGCGCGGCGCAAACUUGCGAGUUCCCCCGGUCUUUGCCCCCGCGGGGCCGCGGACUGAGGUGGUGGCGGAGUUCCCGCUGCCCACAAGUCUGGCCUGACCUUCUGGGCCGGAGGACCUGGGGCCGCCUAACGACUCGGAGCUCCCCGCCGGGGGACACCGGCGCUCGGCCCGGGUCUCAGAAAGUGGGUGAGUGUCUGGAGCGGGGACAGGAGGGACAGAUUGGAGGGGGAGGGGCGAGGCUGGGAGAGUCCCUCGUCCCUAGGCUGGAAAGGGGCGGGCAGAAACCCAGGCCGCGCCUGAGCCCAGUUAGGGGGUGGGUAGGGGACGCACAGGUGGAGACGCCCCCCACCCUCCUCGAAGUCGUGCGAUCUGCAGGAAGGGGGCAGUGUGGGGCUACUGGCCGGGCGCUGGGUGGGCUAGGGCCCCUGCCGUGGGCAGAACACUCGCACCUACCCGGUGGAGGCUGUGUGGAGGAAGGGCCAGGACGCCGCGCCCACCCCGGCGCGCCCCACUGGGCGGGGCGGGGCGGGGCGCUCGCCUUGGGUCCCCUCGCUCGGAGCCCCUUCGCCCUGACCCAGUCGCGGGCUUCCGCCUCCUCCUGGAGCUCGGGGGCAGUGGGUUUCUCCUCCGGAGCGAUGGAGGCUGGGGCAAGAGUAUCGCAGAGGCCAAGAACCCCGAGGCUCCUCCAAAGCCCAGAGCGGCUGGCCAGGGCCCCCUCACCACCCCACUAUCCCGCAUUUCCUGGUUGGUUUCUUUCAAACAAACUUCUUGACGGGGCGGGCCUGCGAGGAGAAGUCACCGGGGCUGCCCACCCCAACUAUGUGGUCCCUUGA
This 1287-nucleotide long non-coding RNA is filed under the name Piliocolobus tephrosceles (Ugandan red Colobus). RNAcentral's name for it is "lncRNA (ENSPTEG00000029943.1)". The record is from RNAcentral. Lineage: Eukaryota; Metazoa; Chordata; Mammalia; Primates; Cercopithecidae.